AUGAUGAAACCCUACUCUCUCACAGCAAUGUGAGAAUAACAACACUCCAGAUAUGCAUAUCUUUUAUCUUUCUUGUAUGUAGUUACAUGUCGAAUUUCUUCAUUCUUUGAUUCAUUACACUUAAUUCAGGUAUGGUUUGCACCAAUUCAAGAGACUGUACAUUAGGCAUUCAAUACAUAAGACUGGAGUGAGACUAAUUAGGCAUUUAAAUGUGUUACAGGAUGUUGUUUAAAUUGCUUGUCUUAAUAGGUGCACAAGUUGGGAUGGAUUGGACUUCUAUCUUGAGAAAACGCCAUGAUUUCAAAAAUCGUCGCCAACUUCACAGAAAGACAAAUAGCAUCAGUGGCCACAGAUUGCAACCUGGAUUUAAACAAGGUUCGAGGUGCCGUCAACAAUGCUAACAGAAUCCUCCAGGUCAGAUUGUUGAUUGGACUUGAUUUUAUUUAAAUGAUCUUGAUAAUCCAUUUUAUUUAAAUGAGCA
This is a long non-coding RNA of Magnolia sinica, 481 nucleotides long. RefSeq lists it as uncharacterized. The record is from RefSeq and is a predicted model, not a curated record. The transcript has 2 exons. Lineage: Eukaryota; Viridiplantae; Streptophyta; Magnoliopsida; Magnoliales; Magnoliaceae.